Leptopilina heterotoma is the source of this 1178-nucleotide long non-coding RNA. RefSeq lists it as uncharacterized. The record is from RefSeq and is a predicted model, not a curated record. The transcript is spliced from 6 exons. Lineage: Eukaryota; Metazoa; Arthropoda; Insecta; Hymenoptera; Figitidae.
UCGAAAUAAAAAAUUUCCAAUUAAAUUUAAUAAUUAAUAUUACAUUUAAUAAUUCCUUCGGAUAGAAUUGAAUUUUCGAUUAUGUUUAAAAAAUGCAAUUUUUUCGACUAAAACGCCUUUUAGUCGAAAAUCGAUCCGAGGUCUGCAAAUCGCUAUAGGAGAUGAAUUUUUUACUUUACCUCUUUGGAAAGACAAUUUUUCCUAAAUUUAGGAGAUGAAUUUUUUUACUUUACCUCUUUGGAAAGACAAUUUUUCCCAUCCAACGACGGUGCCUAAUUUUCCUUCCCUGACAAUGAAUUCGGCAGGUGGAAGACAUAUCGGUUGUGCUGUCACUAAAAGAAAAGAUUUUAUUUUGGAAGGAAACGAAACUUACUGACGAAACUAACGAGAACGACGAAUGGAUAACUUCCUAAAGUUUCUACAUUGCUUUUAAUUAAAGUCUGCCCACAUUGAAGAUUCCAGACCGGAUAUGGAGAUGAUUCCGGAUCAGAAAUUGCAUCAACGGAACGUGCAAGUGGAUCACAACAUACUUUGAGGCUUGAUUCAGUGUAUCCACAAAUUGAGGAUCGUAAUCUUCAAAAAAAGAAGAAGAAGACGAAUGAAAUGAGCUGCUUCCACGAUUCCGGUGGCUUUGAUAAAAUCAACGGACACAAUAUUUGCAGAUAGUUGCCAUUUUGUGUUGUACCACAUGGUAAUUUUUGCAUCAACUUCUUCUGCCAUUUUUCGAAGUCCUCCCAGUCUGUCGAGAAAAAUGUCCCAAGCCUUGGGAGUCAAUUCUGCCAUCGCGGAUCUUGGAUUCACUUUCAAGGAACUGAAAUAAUUCGUUUUUUUAAUUGAAAUUCUUGCACGUCGAAUAUGACAAUUUCAUCUGUAUUAUCGAGAAAUGUUUUCACGUCUUCAACGACUGUUUGGAAUGGUACAACGGCAACGAGUCCGUGACUUCCCCACCAUUGGAUUUCCUCGGUAGCAUAGUAGCCCACUCGGAUGUCCAGAUAUCGAGCUCCAUAAAUCAGUUGACCAAGAAUAUCCUCAUCCUGAAGGUGCAACGUCAACGAUUCCGGAGUACUUGAUGAAAUCUACAGAGACGAUAUUUGCCGAGUGUUGCCACAUUCCAUUGUACCAGCCAGUAAUUUUCGGAUUAGUAACUUCUGCCAUACGUCGAAUGCCACCAAAAAGAU